RNAcentral lists this ribosomal RNA (1525 nucleotides) under Triticum aestivum (bread wheat). Its description in RNAcentral is "partial small subunit ribosomal RNA". Lineage: Eukaryota; Viridiplantae; Streptophyta; Magnoliopsida; Poales; Poaceae. The record is from RNAcentral.
UCUUAUCCCACUGUCCUUCUCCACACCACACCGCCCACUCUCAGCCACACACGCCACUCCACUGCAUCCCCCUCUCCUCGACACGGGUCUCGUGGGGAAGUGCGCCGGCGACGAGGCGGGAUGCGCUGUCCAUGAGGCAGGCGGCGGCGGCCAGCAGAGACGAGGAGUGGAGGCCUCAAAUAACAAGCGGCGGUCGAUUUGGGGGGCGGAGCGGCGGACGAUUUGGGAGAGGAGAUCACCGGUGGCGUCCCCAUGGGUGUACUAGGAUCUGGCCUUCGUCGCCUGCUUCCAUAUGUGACGCCGCAGGCGCGGGGCUUGGGCCAGAGCACUGUUGCUCGGGGAGGAGCUGCAGCAGGAGCUGGCCAUGGACGGGAGCUUCGUUCAGAACCUCACGGCGGUUGUAGAAGGGGGUGUGGGGCGUGGGGGUCAACGACAGCAGGGCCACCAACCACCGGAGCUCUUCAUGGAUGGGUGUGUGUGUGUCCUGCAUGGUCAGUACUUCGCCCGCCGUGUUGCUCGUCCCGUCCGACGGCUCUGGAUCUGUACUCGAAGCAGGCGAAGAUCUCUGAACUCCAAGCAGACGCCCAGGUGCCCAGGUGAACUUCAAGCAGUCGACUAGGCUGCUGGCUCUGAACUCCAAGCUAGGAGAAGAGCAUGCUGAUCCCAUUUUCACUGGGAGUUCAAGGUGAUAUUCUGGCUAUUCCCCUGUGUCGCACCUGCUACGCCCGGCCAUGCACGGCUAGUGCUGCUAUGUGAGCAUAAUUGUCACUUGUUUGCUUACCAUGUAGAGGUCAAAUGGCUAACCAAGUAGAUGUUAUGUGCACAUGGUAAGAUAACAAUAUACAUGCAAUCCAUAUUUCAUGUGUUGCCAUGGCAAUUUAAUUUCACACAUCAUGGCAAAUAAUUCAUAAAUAGCAUGGAAAUUCCGUCAUAGAAUUAGAAUAAUUAUUGCCAUGCUCAAAGUUUGUACCAUGUACAAGUGGCCAUGCUGAUUUCUGGACAGAUAAAACAGUCAAAUGUUUUAGAUAAAAAUUUGCCAUGCUAUUUUACAGAACACACAAACAUUUGCAGCCUUCGUAUAUAACUGAAUAUUAUUACAGUUAAGUUCUCAUUUGGAGCUAUCACAACAUUUUUUGUCUCCAAUAGUGUGUCUCAAGUAGGUGUUUAGGGGGUGUUCAACCUCACGAAUCGUGCCUUUUCUGCAUGGUUGGUUUUGUGUCUCUAGGAUGUCAAAUUUAAGGUGUGUCAUUUUUGUGGUUGAUCGUGCUGCGAGUGUGGUGUUGGUAGGUCUACGUUCCACGUUGUUGGUCGUCUUUGGGGUGGUGCAGGUGCUGCCGUUGCUCCACGAGUAGCUCGAUGUGAGUCUAAUUUUCCCCUAGAAUGUUGCCAUAUCUCCCAUUUUGUUCGCCACAGCAAAAUUGCCAUGUUUUUAGUUUAAAAACAUCUUGUAUAGUUUUUUUUUUCAUAUCUCAACAUGUCCAAUGUAGCAUCUUUUUUACAUGUCUCCACAUUUUUACACUUUGCC